GCUGGCGGCACGCCUAAUACAUGCAAGUCGAACGAAGUAGCAAUACUUAGUGGCAGACGGGUGAGUAACAUGUGGGUAUCUUCCCUUUGGUGAGGAAUAACACGAGGAAACUUGUGCUAAUACCUCAUAAGUCUUUACGGAGAAAGCUUUAUGCGCCAAUGGAUGAGCCCGCACUUGAUUAGUUAGUUGGUAGGGUAAUGGCCUACCAAGACUUUGAUCAAUAGCUGAUUUGAGAGGAUGAUCAGCCACAUUGGGACUGAGACACGGCCCAAACUCCUACGGGAGGCAGCAGUAGGGAAUCUUGCACAAUGGAGGAAACUCUGAUGCAGCGAUGCCGCGUGAGUGAAGAAGGCCCUUGGGUUGUAAAGCUCUUUCGUCGGGGAAGAAAAUGACUGUACCCGAAUAAGAAGGUCCGGCUAACUUCGUGCCAGCAGCCGCGGUAAUACGAAGGGACCUAGCGUAGUUCGGAAUUACUGGGCUUAAAGAGUUCGUAGGUGGUUAAAAAAGUUGGUGGUGAAAUCCCAGAGCUUAACUCUGGAACUGCCAUCAAAACUUUUUAGCUAGAGUAUGAUAGAGGAAAGCAGAAUUUCUAGUGUAGAGGUGAAAUUCGUAGAUAUUAGAAAGAAUACCAAUUGCGAAGGCAGCUUUCUGGAUCAUUACUGACACUGAGGAACGAAAGCAUGGGUAGCGAAGAGGAUUAGAUACCCUCGUAGUCCAUGCUGUAAACGAUGUGUGUUAGACGUUGGAAAUUUAUUUUCAGUGUCGCAGCGAAAGCAAUAAACACACCGCCUGGGGAGUACGAC
Molecule: ribosomal RNA, 803 nt
Filed under: uncultured Pelagibacteraceae bacterium
Lineage: Bacteria; Pseudomonadati; Pseudomonadota; Alphaproteobacteria; Candidatus Pelagibacterales; Candidatus Pelagibacteraceae
Description: bacterial SSU rRNA
Rfam family: Bacterial small subunit ribosomal RNA
Source: RNAcentral